UUUAGGUCUCUACGAUCUAGGUUUUGGGGUCCUGAUGGUGGUAGGUAGGCUAGGACGAAGCGGAAUAAAGGGAUCUCUUCGGCCUCUUCCUCGUCCUGCCGGUGUGGCCUGUGUAGAUGGCGCCAGGCCGGCGAGGGUAGGGCUCUCGACUUCCUACUUGUGGCGCUUUGUAUAGGAGUCAUGAGCUGGCCGCCGUUCCAUCCAAUUCAAGAGGCUGCGGCCAGUCCAGGAUCUCAUGAGCACGGGCAGGUUCCCUGGCCGUGGCUGGGUGAUUCUUCCAGCUCACAAAGGCCAUGUAUGGCGAUGGUGCUCCAGACGCCCUUGUAUGUUUGGGCUAUUUUGGUUUUACUUCCAUGUGUGUAGGUGGGGAUUGCACGGUAGGAGUUUUUGCAGAGGCUGUAGAUAGAAGAGGUCAUGAGGCUGAACAUCCUGUCCAAUCAGGAACACCCUUAUUUUUGCACAGAGAUGGGUGGUCAUGGAUUCAAAGAAGGCGGAGUGUAGUCAUGUAGUGUCGCUGGUGUUUCUCGGUGUCAGGUUAUGUUUGGCCAUUGGCAUGCAUAUUGAUGCGCCAUGCAUCUCCUUUCAUCAUGAUGGUCAGCGACCGCGUCUUCGCCGCCGGAGCUGUUCAGUAUCACCUACUCUCGGGUGAAGCUCGGCGAGAGAGGCCCUAUAGUUUACAAAUAUUCGUGGAGCUCUCACAAUGGCAGACAGAGAGAGGAGCUACUCCAGCAUUGCAUGGCUGACAGCAAGUGACUAAUGCCCUAAUCUUGUUGUGUAAAUUAAUGCAACUGGCGUUAACUUGUAGAGCAUCAUGUUGUUAGAAUAGUUCUAAGGUCACCGUGUGAUUUCGUUUACAUUUUUGCUUGCUUGCCGGUGUACCAAACAAGAUGGAUGUAGCUUCUGCCGAGGUAUGGACGAGGGGCGGGUCCGUUCCUCUGUUCCUGCUC
This is an RNA transcript of Triticum dicoccoides, 947 nucleotides long. RefSeq lists it as uncharacterized. Lineage: Eukaryota; Viridiplantae; Streptophyta; Magnoliopsida; Poales; Poaceae. The record is from RefSeq and is a predicted model, not a curated record. The transcript is spliced from 4 exons.